CGAUGAUGGCGAAGAAGCCGGUGUGGUCAUGGGAAACCACAGUGCGGUUCGCGUACCAAUCCCGAAUCUGCUUGUCCAGGCGGUCGUUCUCCUUCUCCAGAGUGCGCACCUUCUGCAGGUAGGAGGCAAGGCGGUCGUUCAGGUUCUGCAUGGUGGCCUUCUCGUUGGCUCCAACGUGGAGGUCCAAGCCAUCAGCCAGGUUGAAAGGUUUGUAGCUGCUCUGGGAUGUGGAGAUGCGAGUGCCGCUCCCGCCGGCGCCACCGUAGACGCUCAUGGUCCUCUGGCCGUAGGAUCUGGUGCUGAGAGACAUGAUGGACGGCUGGGAUCUGGUGCAGGUGUUGGAGUCAAUCUGCAGUUGUCGGCAUUAGUGCCUGACCAGCUUAUAUAGCUGAUGCCUGAACAGAAGGAGGAGCAAAGAAUUGCACAUGAAAGAGAGGAAUGCAGCUGCCCCUCACACAUCUCAACCUUUGCAUUAACACGGGUGUGGUGGGUGGUGGGCCAGGGCUCAGCUGCCGUGUCUGCAGGUCAAACCCGUGAUUCCACAUUUCCAUAUGAAAAAAACAUUCUUCAAAUAGUCCUCCGCUCGUUUUUUCAUCCCCAUCCUGUGUAAUUUUCACAUUCCUGCUCCGUCCCACCACAAAGACUGACGUUGGUCAUAAUUCAGAGCCGCGGGACAAAAAUCGUAGACGGGACAGCUCAGCCAAGUGUUUGCUCCCCUCCUGCUCACUGCAGUGACAGAAUCGACACAUACCAGUGACAAUUCGUCUCAGUGAAACUGUGAGGCAAAAGGUUAAAGAUGUCUGUAAAAUGGAUAUUUUUGGCUCAAAAGAGAGGAGAACUUUCAACACUGAGGUGCAUCCAAACGUCAGACUGCCCACCUACUCCUUAUGGCAUCAUUGCAGCGUCACUUCAUUUGUAAUGGACCCAACAUAUACAAGCUUGCAGAGGUCCAGUUUUUGUCCACCAUUUUUGAAGCAUAUGAAGUUUCAUAACUUCAUUACGUGACAUGCAUUAUGUGACAUUAUUAUAUAUACAUUAUUAUGACAUGCAUCAUGGAUAAAUCUGUUUUUCUUAAAAAACCGAAGGGAUACAACAUGUAUAUGAAAGUUAAAAAAAACAUGCAGUAUGUGACUGUACAACAAUCUCAAAAACAUACAGUGAAUGAAUGUACUUCUUAAUGCAUUUGUUCACAAGGUACAUGGUAAAUGAAGACUAAUAUGAGCUUUUUGCUGUUAAUGGUAAAUACUCUGUCUUUGAGGGGGUCGCAUGAUCAUCUGUCUGUUAGCAAAAUAGCUCAGGAAAUGCUGAUGAGGGGACGAGGAAGUUCAUUCUGGUUCCAAACUACCAUCUGGAUUCAGGAUUUGUCAGUGACGUCUUUGCCCUCUGCAUCUCGCCUUGCUUGGCACAGAACUUCCACAACUUUGACUGCUUGCUGCUUGUGAUGCCAUCAGUGUAGAUGCAAUGCUGUGGCCGAGUUCAGAUUUCUGCUGUGAGCCUUGUUGUUGCACUGUACCUUGUGAAGCCAAACUAACUAACAAAACACCAGCGAUAUCAAAUCGCAUCUAAGUUAGCCCAUUUCAUUUUUUUUUUUGAUAAACCAAUGGAUCUACUUGGCUUUGUUUUCUGUUUUGUCUAUAUUUAGGUUGCAUAUUGAUAUGAAAAAACAAGUUCAAGUGAUGGAGGGCUGCUGCUCUGUACAAGGGUUCGUGAGUACAACCAAUACACACCAUCAAUGUGCAGAUUCAUGUUUUUCUCUCCUCAUGUUGUCAGGAUGUGUAAAGAGAUGUCCCCAAAAAAACACACACUUGUGCACCCGCUCCGUUCCACACAUUGUUCAUCAUGUUCAGGUUCAUGUUCAAAAAUAAUCCAAAUAUUAUUGUUAUCAUAUGUGUUCAUCCAGAUUAGAAGUUAUUUUAAAGAGACUGGUUUUGGAAACAUCUUCAGCCUGUCUGGCAGAAGAGGCUUUUAUUCAUGUGAAAAACACACACACGUUCUGAAUGGUUUUUUUUAUAUAUAUGUAUGUUGUUUCCUAAUGUUAUUAAAAGUCACCUUAAAUGAUCAAUGACUCCUCUUGUGAGAUGAGCUGAAACCAUAGCUAGAGUUGAGCUGAAACCAUAGAUAAAUAAAUCAAAUGAAUUACAGGUUUGUUGAUCCGUAGCCUUAUCUGACUCUCCGAUCAAACCGUUUGUGGUUGUUUUCCACCACUGCUAUCUUGUUUGGCGACAUCGCCCAACUGCUGGCUCUCCUCCUUCUGUCAUCAUUUCUCAACUGCUGUUGUCACUCAGAUCUGAUAAAAGAGGAGACAACAGAUGAUCAGAUGGUGACUGAAAGACGGAACUAUGUGAACCACGUCUGCGGGACGCUUGACUGGCAGUCGCAGCAGGUGAAAUGAUUUAUUUUUUUGUCGCGUCUGUGUGAACGAAACAAUUAACUGAACAAAUAUUUGAACCCGUGAGCCUCAUCAUUCUGGUCAUUAGGACUGCGGUACAGAGACGCCCACCCCCCACCAAAAAAAAUAAAAAAAUAAAAAAAUAAAACAAGUUCUGACGGACUGUGAGGAACCCCAGGGAGCACCUGUACACACUUGGUUUUCCUCGCACAAGCUGAAACAACACUUGGGUUACUUGAGUUCUUCUGCAAAGGCACACGCCAAACCUCCAGCUGGAUUCAAACCGGCUCCAAGAUUUUGGGCUCAAAGACCAGGAAUUGAAAUCAGAAUGUGCAAUUGUUUAAUGGGGAACGCACAGUACAUUUGACAAAAUAUUGCCAAAGCUGUAACUUUAACCGACCCCCGGAUAGGAGACCAGUACCGGUCCGUGGAUCAACUCGUCCCGGGCUGCACAAGAAAUAAUUAAUUAUUUGCGUUUUGUGUAUGAUCUGAGUCCGAAGGAUCUUUUAUUUUGAAAAAUGACCGGAUUCUCUCAGUUAAGCCUCGGUCACUUUCGAGCCAAAAUGUAACCCACAUGCUCGCAAAAUGAGUAGGAAACACCUGUUUCUUUGAAAGGGGAAAAGGUUCAGUGAAGAGAUAGAAGAGCCUACGACGUCCAAGAAGAUGGCAGUUUUUAACAAACAAUACCAGGAGUCGUUUUUGAAAUAUGGAUUUAUCGCAGUCGUCUACCGUCACUCCCAGAUGGGACUGUCUCGUAGCAGAGAAACAAGCUCAGGGCUCCCAGUAUUUAACAAAACAGUGAGUUCGAAUUUUCAUGCACUUUAUAUUCGGUGUUGUGCUGUAUCUACAUGCAGUUUUGAAGGCAUGUUUGCCAUGCCAUAGCGACCAGAGUCAGAGAGUGUAAGGGCAGUGGUUGAGAGGAGGAGAGUUUGUGAGUUCUUUGCGGGCACACAAACAUGCUGAGGACUUACAUGACGGCUCAAAGUGGCAACUUCAUACCCCCCGGGCCACGUUCCAAUCAUCAAGUGUUGACCGGUCCGCAGUGAUAAAAAGGUUUGGAACCACUGCAUCAAGGGACUUGAAGUACAUAUGAGUCGUUGGUGUCCUUUUUACUUGCGUGAAGAAACCAUGUCGAGAGCUACUGAAAUUAUCAGACCACUGCUGUUGAGGUUGACACACCUGACAUUUUUUCUCAAUUUUCGUCCAUGAUGGGCCCAUCAGGAGGCCGAUCCCAGCGACUAGGCGUGAGAGGCCAAGGUCGCCCGGGACAGGUCACACGCUCACAUCUAUGGACAAUCGUCCAUUGACUUGAGCAUGAUUUUGGACGGCAAGAGAUGGGACCACCCAGAGUUUAUGUAUUACUUCACAAACAUCCCGUGUAACUGCAGUUCAGCCCAGUCUCUCUCAGGAAGCAGAAACCUGAUCCACCCGAGACGCUUGAACGACUUGAGCGAUUUGUCCGAGGAGGAAUUUUCUUCGGCUCACUGUAGUAAACAGCCUUUGUCCCCAGACAACAAGAAUGUUGCCCUGCUUGUUUUUUUUUUUUCUAAACACGGAGACGUGCCAGGUGACCGUGUAGGCGUAUUAACACACCUUCAUGUUCACAUUCCUGAACAGCAAUAACCUGUGUCUGCAUCAUACAGUGACAGGUGUUCAUUCAAAAAUGACAAUCCAUCGUGGCAACACGCAGGUGGCAGGUGGGCUUUUCCUGCAUUGAUCCAGCCAUCGAGAGUGAGGAGGACAGAACCGGAACGUUCCACCAGAUUUUCUGAGCCGGCCUGAGGUGCAUGCCUGUGCACAGCGUCCGGGAGAGAUCAUGCUCCCCUCAUCAUUUCCAGUAGUGAAUUAUUUUCUUCUCCUGAGGUCCUUACGUCUUUCUUUUGCUGCAGCGAGUGCCUCUGUCGCCUAUGACAAGGAGAAACAGUACAUUUGUGGUAUUUCCCUUUAUGUCAAUGAGGUAAAAGGCAGGAGGCAGAGCUGGAGGUAGCGGAGAUGAAGAUGCCGAGGUUCUCUUUGGGAGUGAGCAGGAUGGAUAGGAUCAGGAAGCAGUAGAUCAGAGGGACAGCACAUGUCGGGAGUUUAGGAGACAAAGCCAGAGAGGCCAGAUGGAGAUGGUUUGAACAUGUACAGAGGAGAGAGAGCCAGUACAUUGGUAGGAAGAUGUUGAGGUUGGAACUGCCAGGCAGAAGGUGGAGAGGAAGGCCAAAGAGGAGAUUGAUGGAGGUGGUGAAGGAGGUCAUGAGGUUUGUAGAGGAGGAGGAGGAGGAUCCGCUGUGGUGACCCCUGAAGGGAGCAGCCAGAAGAGAAAGAAGAAGAAGGAGUCAAUGAGACCACGUCUGGAGACAGAUGCUCCAUCUGUGUCUCCUCCACCGCUGCUGGAAGCUGCUCUCUCCUCCUGCUCGUCCACACCAUCACCACCAUUCAGUUCUGUUGGAGCUCAUGAACCAGUGGAUGUCACAAGUCUGAUUCCAGUCUCUAUAGUGGAGACUGAGGAUCAUCCGCCACACGUGUGUUUUGUUUCCACUGCCACCAGAACAGUUCAGCUCCAGUCUCUCUCCCACAAAGUGGAAGAUAAACUCAGACAGUACUUAGAAACGACACCUGUGCUGCUGCUUCUCCGGGAAGUAGUAGAAGAAGCCAACAGGUCUGACACCUGUGAGCAGAAGAGAAGGCUUGUUCUUUACCAGCUGGUGUAUGUACUCUGAAGACGUUCCAUUGUCUAUUAAAGAUAAUUCUUCUGUUCCGCAUGUCUCAAAUGCCCACUGAACAGCAGCAGCAUGGUGUUUGACUCCUGCUUCAUGGGCUCAAUCUCAGCACCAUCAUCAUGUGAGCAACAUCAGACAAAGUCAACAAAACAUUAUUAUUACUCUGAAGAUAUAAAUUAGACAGAUUCAUAGUCUUUUUUUUUUUUUUGCCAUGUACUUGAUCUUAAGACGAGUCACGCCUUAGAAAGGUUUGAAAAUAGGUGGAUCACACCCUCUUGUGGUUGCUCUAAGAACACCAUCCAUAUGACAGCCAGUUUAUAUGAAUGUUAUAUCUCAAAUGAAAAGUUCAGUGUAAAUAAAUUGUCCUCCUAAAUGCCUUUCACCACCCUCACUUCUAAGAUGCUCUCAGGUCCUCAUGAAGCACACUUCCUCUCAUCAUCUCAGGUACUAUAUAAAAGUCUACUUAAAGCCCAGCACUCACGUUGAAUUUAAAUAGUAAUUUUGUUUGUGGUUGUUUCAUUG
Molecule: long non-coding RNA, 5616 nt
Organism: Synchiropus splendidus (mandarinfish)
Lineage: Eukaryota; Metazoa; Chordata; Actinopteri; Syngnathiformes; Callionymidae
Exons: 3
Source: RefSeq, a predicted model, not a curated record